This 253-nucleotide ribosomal RNA is filed under the name uncultured bacterium. Its description in RNAcentral is "partial 16S ribosomal RNA". It matches the Rfam family "Bacterial small subunit ribosomal RNA", at positions 524 to 776 of the family's 1533-position model. The record is from RNAcentral.
UACGGAGGGUGCAAGCGUUAUCCGGAUUUACUGGGUUUAAAGGGUGCGUAGGUGGUUCUGUAAGUCAGUGGUGAAAUCUCCGGGCUUAACCCGGAAACUGCCAUUGAUACUAUAGAUCUUGAAUAUCCUGGAGGUGAGCGGAAUAUGUCAUGUAGCGGUGAAAUGCUUAGAUAUGACAUAGAACACCAAUUGCGAAGGCAGCUCACUACGGGAUCAUUGACACUGAGGCACGAAAGCGUGGGGAUCAAACAGG